This 206-nucleotide ribosomal RNA is filed under the name uncultured bacterium. RNAcentral describes it as "partial 16S ribosomal RNA". It matches the Rfam family "Bacterial small subunit ribosomal RNA", at positions 568 to 774 of the family's 1533-position model. The record is from RNAcentral.
CGUUGAGGCGGUUCCGUAAGUUGGACGUGAAAGCCCUCGGCCUAACCGAGGGAUGCCGUUCAAUACUGCGGGACUUGAGGACAGCAGAGGGAGGUGGAAUUCCCGGUGUAGUGGUGAAAUGCGUAGAUAUCGGGAGGAACACCUGUGGCGAAGGCGGCCUCCUGGGCUGCUCCUGACGCUGAAGGCGAAAGCUAGGGUAGCGAACG